GUGAGGAAUAUUGGUCAAUGGGCGAGAGCCUGAACCAGCCAAGUCGCGUGAAGGAUGAAGGUUUUAUGAAUUGUAAACUUCUUUUGCAGGGGAAUAAAGUACGGUACGUGUACCGUUUUGUAUGUACUCUGCGAAUAAGGAUCGGCUAACUCCGUGCCAGCAGCCGCGGUAAUACGGAGGAUCCAAGCGUUAUCCGGAUUUAUUGGGUUUAAAGGGUGCGCAGGCGGGUUGAUAAGUCAGCGGUGAAAGUUUGCAGCUUAACUGUAAAAUUGCCGUUGAAACUGUCGGACUUGAGUGUAAAUGAGGUAGGCGGAAUGCGUGGUGUAGCGGUGAAAUGCAUAGAUAUCACGCAGAACUCCGAUUGCGAAGGCAGCUUACUAAGCUACAACUGACACUGAAGCACGAAAGCGUGGGGAUCAAACAGGAUUAGAAACCCGGGUAGUCC
This 445-nucleotide ribosomal RNA is filed under the name uncultured bacterium. RNAcentral's name for it is "partial 16S ribosomal RNA". It matches the Rfam family "Bacterial small subunit ribosomal RNA", at positions 354 to 796 of the family's 1533-position model. The record is from RNAcentral.